This 459-nucleotide ribosomal RNA is filed under the name uncultured bacterium. RNAcentral's name for it is "bacterial SSU rRNA". It matches the Rfam family "Bacterial small subunit ribosomal RNA", at positions 28 to 499 of the family's 1533-position model. The record is from RNAcentral.
GACGAACGCUGGCGGCGCGCCUAACACAUGCAAGUCGAACGAGCGAGAGAGAGCUUGCUUUCUCGAGCGAGUGGCGAACGGGUGAGUAACGCGUGAGGAACCUGCCUCAAAGAGGGGGGACAACAGUUGGAAACGACUGCUAAUACCGCAUAAGCCCACGGCUCGGCAUCGAGCAGAGGGAAAAGGAGUAAUCCGCUUUGAGAUGGCCUCGCGUCCGAUUAGCUAGUUGGUGAGGUAACGGCCCACCAAGGCGACGAUCGGUAGCCGGACUGAGAGGUUGAACGGCCACAUUGGGACUGAGACACGGCCCAGACUCCUACGGGAGGCAGCAGUGGGGAAUAUUGCACAAUGGGGGAAACCCUGAUGCAGCGACGCCGCGUGGAGGAAGAAGGUCUUCGGAUUGUAAACUCCUGUUGUUGGGGAAGAUAAUGACGGUACCCAACAAGGAAGUGACGGCUA